GUGCCAGCAGCCGCGGUAAUACGAAGGGUGCAAGCGUUACUCGGAAUUACUGGGCGUAAAGCGUGCGUAGGUGGUUCGUUAAGUCUGAUGUGAAAGCCCUGGGCUCAACCUGGGAAUUGCAUUGGAUACUGGCGGGCUAGAGUACGGUAGAGGGUGGCGGAAUUCCUGGUGUAGCAGUGAAAUGCGUAGAUAUCAGGAGGAACAUCCGUGGCGAAGGCGGCCACCUGGACCAGUACUGACACUGAGGCACGAAAGCGUGGGGAGCAAACAGGAUUAGAUACCCCCGUAGUCC
This 292-nucleotide ribosomal RNA is filed under the name uncultured prokaryote. RNAcentral describes it as "partial 16S ribosomal RNA". It matches the Rfam family "Bacterial small subunit ribosomal RNA", at positions 505 to 796 of the family's 1533-position model. The record is from RNAcentral.